AAUACGACUCUCGGCAACGGAUAUCUCGGCUCUCGCAUCGAUGAAGAACGUAGCGAAAUGCGAUACUUGGUGUGAAUUGCAGAAUCCCGUGAACCAUCGAGUCUUUGAACGCAAGUUGCGCCCCAAGCCGUCAGGCCGAGGGCACGUCUGCCUGGGUGUCACGC
Molecule: ribosomal RNA, 164 nt
Filed under: Ruta graveolens (common rue)
Lineage: Eukaryota; Viridiplantae; Streptophyta; Magnoliopsida; Sapindales; Rutaceae
Also listed under: 1 other name
Description: 5.8S ribosomal RNA
Rfam family: 5.8S ribosomal RNA
About the family: 5.8S ribosomal RNA (5.8S rRNA) is a component of the large subunit of the eukaryotic ribosome. It is transcribed by RNA polymerase I as part of the 45S precursor that also contains 18S and 28S rRNA.
Source: RNAcentral